RNAcentral lists this ribosomal RNA (303 nucleotides) under uncultured bacterium. RNAcentral describes it as "partial 16S ribosomal RNA". It matches the Rfam family "Bacterial small subunit ribosomal RNA", at positions 507 to 807 of the family's 1533-position model. The record is from RNAcentral.
AGCAGCCGCCGCGGUAAUACGAGGGGGGCUAGCGUUGCUCGGAAUUACUGGGCGUAAAGGGAGCGUAGGCGGAUGAAUUAGUCAGGGGUGAAAUCCCGGGGCUCAACCUCGGAACUGCCUUUGAUACUGUUCAUCUUGAGUAUGGGAGAGAUGUGUGGAACUCCGAGUGUAGAGGUGAAAUUCGUAGAUAUUCGGAAGAACACCAGUGGCGAAGGCGACACACUGGCCCAUUACUGACGCUGAGGCUCGAAAGCGUGGGGAGCAAACAGGAUUAGAUACCCCCGUAGUCCCUGUCUCUUAUAC